UACGGAGGAUGCAAGCGUUAUCCGGAAUUAUUGGGCGUAAAGCGUCCGCAGGUGGCACUUCAAGUCUGCUGUUAAAUACUAGGGCUCAACCCUGGAGCGGCAGUGGAAACUGAAGAGCUAGAGUACGGUAGGGGUAGAGGGAAUUCCCGGUGUAGCGGUGAAAUGCGUAGAGAUUGGGAAGAACACCGAUGGCGAAAGCGCUCUGCUGGGACGAAACUGACACUCAUGGACGAAAGCUAGGGGAGCGAAUGGG
Molecule: ribosomal RNA, 253 nt
Filed under: uncultured bacterium
Lineage: Bacteria
Description: partial 16S ribosomal RNA
Rfam family: Bacterial small subunit ribosomal RNA
Source: RNAcentral